AGAGAGAGACAUGCGCGCAUAUCAAUAAGCGGAGGAAAAGAAACUAACAAGGAUUCCCUUAGUAACGGCGAGUGAAGCGGGAAGAGCUCAAAUUUGAAAUCUUCAAGGUUCUACCUUGACGAAUUGUAGUUUAUAGAAGUGUUUUCUGUUAGUGGAGUGGCAAGAGUUCUUUGGAAUAGGACAUCAUAGAGGGUGAGAAUCCCGUAUUUGGUCAUUCCUCCUAGCGUUGUGAUACACUUUCAACGAGUCGGAUUGUUUGGGAAUGCAGUCCAAAAUGGGUGGUAAAUUUCAUCUAAAGCUAAAUAUUGGCGAGAGACCGAUAGCGAACAAGUACCGUGAGGGAAAGAUGAAAAGAACUUUGAAAAGAGAGUUAAACAGUACGUGAAAUUGUCAAAAGGGAAGCGUUUGACACCAGUGUUGUUUUUCCGAAAAUCAAUUACGAAUGUUUUGUUUUUGAGGAGUUAUGACUUCAUCGGCUUGCUCCCUUCUUUACUGAAACUUUCUUAAUGCACUUUUCGGUUAACAAGUCAACAUCAAUUUCUUUUGUUGUAAAAGGGUAUGAGGAAGGUGGCUUUCUUUUCGGAGAAAGUGUUUAUAGCCUUGUACCUCUGCAAUCGGAGAGAUUGAGGUCUGCAGCGUAGAUCCUUCGGGGUUAGAUACAUUUGUGCUAAGUUAUAGCUUUUCAUAGACAACUUGUUGACUAUGUUUAGUCUUGUAGCUUACUCGCUUAUGCUAUUUUACCUACGCUUAGGAUGUUGAUAGUCACAGCGUGUAC
RNAcentral lists this ribosomal RNA (775 nucleotides) under uncultured Neocallimastigales. RNAcentral describes it as "partial large subunit ribosomal RNA". It matches the Rfam family "Eukaryotic large subunit ribosomal RNA", at positions 23 to 644 of the family's 3401-position model. The record is from RNAcentral. Lineage: Eukaryota; Fungi; Neocallimastigomycota; Neocallimastigomycetes; Neocallimastigales.